UCCAGCACACCAAUACCACAUGGGAAACACUCCACUAUCCACCACAGAGGCAGAGAAAGACCUGGGAGUGUAUUUUACCAGGCUACCAGUGAAGGGAUAUCCAGCACACCAAUACCACAUGGGAAACACUCCACUAUCCACCACAGAGGCAGAGAAAGACCUGGGAGUGUAUGUUACCAGGCUACCAGUGAAGGGAUAUCCAGCACACCAAUACCACAUGGGAAACACUCCACUAUCCACCACAGAGGCAGAGAAAGACCUGGGAGUGUAUGUUACCAGGCUACCAGUGAAGGGAUAUCCAGCACACCAAUACCACAUGGGAAACACUCCACUAUCCA
Eriocheir sinensis (Chinese mitten crab) is the source of this 338-nucleotide long non-coding RNA. RefSeq lists it as uncharacterized. The transcript is spliced from 2 exons. NCBI's taxonomy places the organism in Eukaryota, Metazoa, Arthropoda, Malacostraca, Decapoda, Varunidae. The record is from RefSeq and is a predicted model, not a curated record.